Molecule: non-coding RNA, 1529 nt
Organism: Oryza sativa Japonica Group (Japanese rice)
Lineage: Eukaryota; Viridiplantae; Streptophyta; Magnoliopsida; Poales; Poaceae
Source: RefSeq, a predicted model, not a curated record
UAUGCGUGCCUCCUCUUCGCGUUCUCUCUCUCUCUCCCCCGUCUGACCUCGGCUCCAUCUGCCGCCGCCGCCGCCUCCGCGCGGUGGAUCUCUCUCUCUCUCCGGCCAAGCUACCUUUGACGGAGGAAAGUUACAGCGCGGGCCGAGGAGGGAGGCCGACGACCUGUACACAGGGCAGAGUCCACACCGGAAGGUCAUAGAGCCAUAGAGGCUGGCCGCAUGCCUUCCACAGUUUUCCUUCAAAAAAAAUUGUGCUAGCAAGAGCUGAGUGGGGUGCGAGAGUAAAAAAAUAUCUGUGCAUUCGAUUGCAUCACGGACAUACGGGAAAGGAUAUGAGGUUCCUGGGGUGGUACCUCAAGAUCGCGGUAGGCGGCGCCGCCAUAGGUGCCAGCAUGGAGCUCUUCAUGAUCCACACCGGCUUCUAUGAGAAGGUAACUGUGUUGGAAUCAGAAAAAAGAGCUUGGGAGAACAGCCCAGAGGCUCAAGCCAUGAGAGAAGCUCUGAAUCCAUGGAGGAAGCAUGAUGAACAAGAGAAAUGAUAGUCCUAGGCUCAUGGCCACCCUCAAUUGUAGCCCUUCAUGAGGAUGUUAUGCUUCCUCAUCUGUAAAAAGGAUGUCAUACUUCCUACUGAUAUUGAAGGAUCUGCCCAAGGAAAGGAAGAAUAUGUGAAGCAUGAGCAGGAAUUUUGUUCUAGGCUGAUGAUGUGGCUUCUGUUUUAGAGGGAGUGCCUUCGAUUUGGCGGUUGCGAGGACGUUCCUUUGUUAAAGGCCUCAUGCCGUUGGUUUCAGAAAAGGAAAACUGCAGCCGGUCUGAGAAGUGAGAAUAGGUAAUUAACUUGCUGACCUUGUCUAGGUAUGCUGUUUUAGUUUCAGAGGACAAACCAGGACGGCUAAUUAUGUCUUUGAGCUAUGCAGUCUAACAAGAUUUAUUACUGUAAUUCAAAAUAUAUUAUGGUGGCAGAGGAUUGGUUAUAGGCUCUAAAAUCAGGAAUACGUUCAGACUAUUUGAUUACUGUAACUGAUAAAAAGGAUGUGCUGCUUCUUUCUUGCUACUGUUUAUGAUGGAGAAGUUGAAGGAAGGAGGCUAUACUUGGCAGUUGGCAUCAACACCUACCACUCUACCAGUCAGAAAGAAACCAAAAGAAGGGGAUACAGUGUAGCGAUGGUCCUUUUGUAAGAAGAAUUAUGUGGGGGAAGAAUGGUAGCUUGUUCAUCUGCUAGUCAAAGCUGAAUUGAAGCUGAAACUGAUAGUUGGGCAGGAAGGCAUUAAUUCAAGAUGAUGCCAAUAAUGCAGGACUCACUGGCAUGGGUAUUUUGAUAGCGAGUUUUAUUAACUGUAAUUCAGGACACAGAGCUACCUGGAUGUUUAGAGUAACAGAAUGGAUUUUAGUUUUACAUAGUGCCGUAGCGUUAGUUUGUUCGUGAGUUUUUCAUGAGUGAAGCGUGAACUUACCGAUGGAGUUUUAGCUAUUUAUACUUUUCUGGACCAUUUUAAGCUGAGACUUGAGAACCAUUUGUUUGUUUCUUCUU